This 74-nucleotide transfer RNA is filed under the name Chrysemys picta bellii (western painted turtle). Its description in RNAcentral is "tRNA-Thr (TGT) (tRNA-Thr-TGT-4-1)". It matches the Rfam family "tRNA". From Rfam's summary of the family: Transfer RNA (tRNA) molecules are approximately 80 nucleotides in length. Their secondary structure includes four short double-helical elements and three loops (D, anti-codon, and T loops). The record is from Rfam by way of RNAcentral. Lineage: Eukaryota; Metazoa; Chordata; Testudines; Emydidae.
GGCACCAUGGCUUAGCUGGCUAAAGCGCCUGUCUUGUAAACAGGAAAUUCUGGGUUCAACUCCCAGUGGUGCCU